RNAcentral lists this ribosomal RNA (440 nucleotides) under uncultured bacterium. RNAcentral describes it as "partial 16S ribosomal RNA". It matches the Rfam family "Bacterial small subunit ribosomal RNA", at positions 338 to 795 of the family's 1533-position model. The record is from RNAcentral.
CCUACGGGUGGCAGCAGUGGGGAAUAUUGCACAAUGGGGGAAACCCUGAUGCCGCGACGCCGCGUGAGCGAUGAAGUAUUUCGGUAUGUAAAGUUCUAUCAGCAGGGAAGAAAAUGACGGUACCUGACUAAGAAGCACCGGCUAACUACGUGCCAGCAGCCGCGGUAAUACGGAGGGGGCAAGCGUUAUCCGGAUUUAAUGGGGGUAAAGGGGGCGUAGACGGUCCUGCAAGCCAGAUGUGAAAGCCGGGGGCUCAACCCCGGGACUGCAUUUGGAACUGUACGGCUAUAGUGUCGGAGAGGGAGGCGGAAGUCCUAGUGUAGCGGUGAAAUGCGUAGAUAUUAGGAGGAACACCAGUGGCGAAGGCGGCCUGCUGGACGAUGACUGACGUUGAGGCUCGAAAGCGUGGGGAGCAAACAGGAUUAGAUACCCUGGUAGUC